Equus caballus (horse) is the source of this 3656-nucleotide long non-coding RNA. Lineage: Eukaryota; Metazoa; Chordata; Mammalia; Perissodactyla; Equidae. The record is from Ensembl.
UUGCCAGCAGAUGGUGCUGUUUCUCCAGAGACCUUAUCAAGUGUGAGGCCAACAGAUGACAGCAGAUGGAGCUAAGAGGUAGCAUUAAGAGAAAUGAGUAUAGUUCAUUUAUACUUAAGAGCCAAUAGCGUGAUAUUGCAAGAGUCAGAGUAAUUUGGAAAAAGUGGCAAUAAUUCUGAAUGAAAUCCGCCCGCUAAUUGUCUCCCCGCCUUGUCCCCUAAGUCACAUUAAAAAAAAAUCAGCGAUUUUUGGAUGGCCAGUUUUUCCAGCCACAUUGUUAAAAAGGACUUGUUUUCAGGUUUUUAAAAUUCCCAUCAGAGUACAAAGAUGAAUGUAACAUGUGAUGAAAUAGGUAAAUGAAAAGAAUUUGUUAUUCCUACUACCCAUGCCCAGAUGGCAAAAUGCUAUUAUCUUCAAUCUAAUAUUGAAGAAUUAUUUGCAAUUUUUGCUAACACAUUGGAGUAACUGUAUCUAACAGAAGUAGAAUUCACUCUGCUUGCAGGUUUAACCCAAGUUAUUCAUUCAAAUAUUUAUUAAGCAUCUACAGUCUGCUCUGGAUCUAUUAUAGGAGGACAGAGUCCCUCCCUGCUCUCAUGGUGGAUACAUUUUUUGGAGGAGGCAGCCAAUAAAUAAACAACAACAAAAAGUUAGAUACCAGUAAGUGCUAUGCAGAGAGAAUAGGAUAGAGUGGCUUUUCACAGGGAGGUGCUAAGAAGGUGACACCUAAUCUGAACAACAUGAAAGACUAAUUAGGUAAGAAAGUAGAAGGAAGAGCAUUCCGUGAAGAAAUCAAUGGGAAAGACUGGAGGAGGAGCAGUCAGGGGAACUACCUCUGGACCAUGGAGUGGAAGAUCACCCACAGUAGUUGUAAUCUAGAGUUCAGGGAGCCUGCCACCACUGACACUGCUACUCACAUCCAUGAAGCUGGCCAGACUUCAUGGAUGGAAUAAGGAGUCCAACCAUUACAACUUCCUCUAAACACUUGUACUCUGUGACCUUGCUUACCAACAGCCACACCAGUGGGAAGAUUGCCUCUGUCUUGCGUCUCUUUACAAACUUUGUGCUAGUGCAUUUAUUUGGCAAUGUCUAAUUCCAACCCAGAACUCUACAUAUAAGGGUGUUUGGGACGUCUUUUUAGGUUUCCAGCUUCUCUAAUUAGUGGAUAAAAUGGUGCUUGAGAGAGCCAAUCUAUUAGAUCUAAGAUAGAAAGCUAUUGGAAUAAUGAAGAUAAAGGAUGGUGGUGGCUUGGCUUAGGUGGCAAUAAUGGAAAUAUAUAGAAGUAGAUGCAUUCAAAAUAUGUUUUAGGAGUGACAACAAUAGCACUUAUGUAUUGAUUGAAUUUGGAAAGGUAACUCCUAGAUUUUUAGCUUGAGCAAUUGGAUAGAUGGUGCCACUGGGAAAACAGUGGUGCCACUGACGUAGCAUGUAGAGUGUGAAAUGCCAGUGUAGACAUGACCAAAAAGCAGUUGGAUUUAAGUCUAAAGUUCAGUUCUGAUCUCCUGGCUGGAGAUCAGAUUUGGGAGUUCAUUGGCCUAGAGAUGCUAUUAAAAGGUCUGGAAUAUGGUCACAUAAGAAGAGUGUUGAUAGAGAGCCUAGACAGACCCCUUAGGCUCCAACAUUAGAGAUCAAUGUAAGAAGAGAAGCCAGCGAAAAAGAUGGAAAAGGAUGGGCCUCAAGGGAGGAAAACCUGGAGAGUGGCAUGAGAACCAAAUGAAGAAGGAAGCUCAAAUGUGUCAAGUGGUGAUAAGAAUUCAAGUAAGUUGAGAAUAGCAGAGACCCUUGGAUUGGACAAGCGCAGCCCAGUGGAGUGGUGGGAACAAAAGUAAGUUUAGUUUGAACUGAGCAGAGAAUAUGAGGUCUAACUAAAAGUUUGUCAAUUUUCUUGAUUUUUCAAAUAACUGACUUUUUGUUUUUUUUUAAUUCUCUAUUUUAUUUAUCUCCACUCUGAUCUUCAUUGUUUCCUUCCCCUUUUUUUUCUCCUUUUCUCCCCAAAGCCCCCCGGUACAUAGUUGUAUAUCCUCGUUGUAGGUCCUUCUAGUUCUGCUACAUGGGACGCCACCUCAGCAUGGCUUGAUGAGUGGUUCUAGGUCCGUGCUCAGGAUCUGAAAUGAUGAAACCCUGGGCUGCUGAAGCGGAGCAUGCAAACUUAACUGCUUGGCCAUGGGGCCAGCCCCUUUCGUUUUUUUUAAUGUAGUCAGUUAUAGCUCUGAGUUUCCAUCUGAGCACUGCUUUGACUGCAUCCCAUAGGUUUUGGUAUCUUGUGUUUGUGUUUUCAUUCAUCUCAAAGUAUCUUCUAAUUUGCCUUGUGAUUGUUUUUUUCACCCAUUAGUUGUUUAAGAGCGUGUUGUUUAGUUUCCACAUAUUUGUGGAUUUUUAAAAUUUCCUUCUGUUAUUGAUUUAUAAUUUCAUUCCGUUGUACUUGGAGAACAUAUUUUGUAUGAUUUUCAUCUUUUAAAAUUUAUCAAGACUUGCUUUAUGGCCUAAAUCCUGGAGAACGUUCUUUGUGCGCUGGAGAAGAAUGUGUGUUCUGUUGUUGGAUGGAGUGUUCUAUAGAUGUUUCUAGGUCCAGUUGGUUUGUAGUGUUGUCUUCGAUUUCCUUGUUGAUCUUCUGUCUAGUUGUUUUAUCCAUUAUUGAAUGUGGAGUAUUGAAUUCUCCAUCUAUUAUUGUUGAACUUUUCCUUCAUUUAUUUGGGUGCCCUGUUGUAGAUCUGUAUGUGUUUAUAAUUGUUGUGUCUUCUUGAUGGAUUCACCGUUGACAUUACAGUGAAUGUCCUUUUUUGUCUGAAAGUCUGUUUUGUCUGAUACCAGUGUAUCCACUCCAGCCCUCUUCUGGUUAUUACUUAGAUGGCAUAUCAUUUCCAUCCUUUUAUUUUCAACUUUUUUUUGUCUUUGAACCUAAAAUCUGUCUUGUAUAGACAGUAUAUAGUGGAUUAUGUUUUUAAAUCUGUCCUGCCAGUCUCUGCCUUUUAACUGAAGAUUUUAAUCCAUUACAUUAAAUGUAGUUACUGAUCAGGACUUACUUCUGUCAUUUUGCUAUUGGGUACUAACAUGCAACUAGAAGAUGAGUAAGUUCUGGAGAUCUCAUGCACAGCAUAGUGAAUAUAGUCAACAAUACUGUAUUAUGUACUUCAAAACUGACUUCUAUAUUUCUUAUAUCGCUUUUGAUCCUCACUCUUACAUUACUGCCUUCUUUUGUGUUAAAUAGAUAUUUUCUAGUAUACCAUUUUAAUUCUUUGGUCGCUUCUUUUACGAUAUAUUCUUGAGUCAUUUUCCUAGUGGUUUCUCUGCGGAUUUUAAUUAACAUCUUAAUUUAUAACAGUCUAGUUCUAAUUAAUACUACCUUAGUUUUAAUAGGGUACAAACUUUGCUUCGAUAUAACUCUGUUCUCCCCCGGCUUUAUGUUGUUGUCACAAAUUACAUCUUUAUACAUGUGUGCCCAUCAACAUGGAUUUAUAAUUAUUGCUUUAUGCAGUUGUCUUUUACAUCAGAUAGGAAAACAAGGAAUUACAGACAACAAAUACAUUUAUAGUUUGUAAAAAUAUUUACAUAUUGUAUUAGUUUCUUAGGGCUGCGAGGUACCUAAGGUUAAAUGAAGUCAUGACGGUGGGGCUCUAAUCCGACGGGAUUAAUGUCCUUAGAAGAAAGAGACAUCAGAG